RNAcentral lists this ribosomal RNA (301 nucleotides) under uncultured bacterium. Its description in RNAcentral is "partial 16S ribosomal RNA". It matches the Rfam family "Bacterial small subunit ribosomal RNA", at positions 509 to 807 of the family's 1533-position model. The record is from RNAcentral.
CAGCCGCCGCGGGAAUACGUAGGUGGCAAGCGUUGUCCGGAAUUAUUGGGCGUAAAGGGCUCGCAGGUGGUUUCUUAAGUCUGAUGUGAAAGCCCCCGGCUCAACCGGGGAGGGUCAUUGGAAACUGGGAAACUUGAGUGCAGAAGAGGAGAGUGGAAUUCCACGUGUAGCGGUGAAAUGCGUAGAGAUGUGGAGGAACACCAGUGGCGAAGGCGACUCUCUUGUCUGUAACUGACGCUGAGGAGCGAAAGCGUGGGGAGCGAACAGGAUUAGAUACCCGCGUAGUCCCUGUCUCUUAUAC